UCUUCUUAGGAUUUAAUUAUAUAAUAUUCAUGUCACACCUUUAUAGUUCAUUGUAACAUGUUUGAUAGUUCAAAAAAAAAAAAGGAAAAAUCAUCACCGACGAACUCUCAUCUUUCUCCCUGUUUAUCAAAAACCAGAGAAAAAUCCUGUGUCGGUGUGUUACAAAAUCUCACCGGGUUUCAUUGCCGGUGAAACAACACUAAAAAAAAAGACAAAAAUAGCGUGCGAGUAACUUAAUUGCACGAUCCUUAAACAAAAAACACGAAUCUCAAAAAGAAAAAUAAAAUUCUCAAACAAAAAGGUUGAGAACUUUGCGGUCUCCGUCGUGAACGUAAUUAUCUUCUCCGAUCCCACUUUCCAAGCACGUCACCGUCGUCACAGAUUCCUCAGAAUUCAUCGACGGUGUUCCCGGACGGCGAAUUUCCUUCCGGCAUCCGUUGGUCAACGUGCUCUGCGGCGUCAACCGGAGAUUAAGAUCAGUCGUCGCCGGAAGCUUCAAAACUUCACCGCCUGAUCGCUUGCGUUUACCACCAGAACUCAUGAACCGGACUUUCGGGUUCGGAUCUCGGAUCUUCCGCGCGUCGUUGCACGUGACUUCACCUUCAGACGAGUCAUCAACGGUGGAGGCAAGAGCAUCUAAACCGAGAAACUCCGGUAAGGGUUUAAGGGUUCCGCCACGAAGCACCGUUUCAACCGCUGCUUGACACACGUGCCAGUUUCCUGUCCACAAAAGUCCGACAGCACCGUUAACGGGGUUCACGGUUCUUCCACACGCUUCAAACAACAAAGAUUGAAACAAAGCUGCAUAUCAUAAAAAGAAACCGUAGUUAGUUUAGUUCAUCAAACAGCUUAUAUCAGAGUGAGUUUGUCAGAACCAUGGUGAGCCGUGAUUUUGCAAGAGUUAAAACUCGUGGAUCACCGUGAUUCUCAAACUACUUAGAGUGAAAGUGUAAAAAAUGAAAGUAAAGAUUAUUUACCAGGUCUUUGUGGUAGAGGGACGUUGGAAAUGAAAGACAUAAGGUCAGCACGGCCGAAAAAUUUGGCUACAAAGACAGUGGCAUGACCUUGAGCUUCAGGGGUAUCGAUCCAUUGAAUACAAGGGCGUAAGAUACAUGACUCACUACAACCCUUUCUAAGGACACGGCAACCGUUGCAACUCAUACCUAUUUGGUAAAAGCUAAAAGCACUAAAUGAGUGAAAGUGUUAUAAUAUUUUUCUUUAUUUAAACUAGUUGCUAAAUACACCUCACAUGAGGAGAAGAGGAAGUAAUGGAAGAGAAGAGAAUGGAACUAGGGUGCAAGUGCAAAUGGGGUAUAAAUAAACACUAGUUAGGAGAGAGGAAGAGGAAACUAGAGAACGAGAAUGAGUGGGUGGAAGUGAGGUAUGGUUAGGAGUUAACUACGGUUAGGUUAGUUUGAGAGAGAGUGUUGGUGCGUGUGUCUGCGUGCAAAGCUUACUUUUCUUACUUCGGUUACUUGUAUGGAAGGGUGAGAUUCCAAGGUCUUGGGCGUGAGCGGCUCCGUGUUUCCGCGGAUGGAUGUUCCUACACCGUUGGAUUCUCUUUCUUUCAGAUUCGGCAUUUGAUGCGUGACUUCCUUUUCGUCGUUGGGUAUAACGUUGUUUAUUACUCCUUCCUCCCCAUAGUCACCAUUUGAUUAUUUUACGUAUAUUAAAAAAAAGUGAUUUUAAGAAAAAGAAAGUGUAUAAAUUAAAGAAAAAGAAAAGUGAUUUUAAGUAUCAUUCUUAAAGUAUUAAUGGAUUUAUUAUUAUUCUAGAUGUAAGAUAAAAUAUAUUAAAUUGGAAGCGAC
RNAcentral lists this long non-coding RNA (1808 nucleotides) under Medicago truncatula (barrel medic). Its description in RNAcentral is "lncRNA gene28920". Lineage: Eukaryota; Viridiplantae; Streptophyta; Magnoliopsida; Fabales; Fabaceae. The record is from RNAcentral.